Molecule: long non-coding RNA, 1593 nt
Filed under: Junco hyemalis (dark-eyed junco)
Lineage: Eukaryota; Metazoa; Chordata; Aves; Passeriformes; Passerellidae
Description: lncRNA (ENSJHYG00000018313.1)
Source: RNAcentral
ACUAAUCCAGCCAUGGGUAGUGUGAAUUACUCAAAAGGUUCCUGGCUACAAAGAUUUGCAAAUGGGAAACCUGUGAGAAAACCCAAGCAGCAAGAGCCUUGGAAGGCAGUAGCUGAUCAAAGCCGAGACAUCAUUGCUUCUGCUCAGUGCAUCUUGGACAGAGAAAAUUUUGUGAGGGGUUAUGUGUUUUUGGAUGAUUAUGACCCAUCAGAGUAUGAUCCAUUCUUCCAGAAGACGUGCACAGACUGCUGGAAGGUGUGAGCAGGUUUGGAGUCCCACUUUGACCAGCAGGAGGUUAACAGAGCAUGUUACUGACGUGCUGCUCUAGGGGAGUGUGUUCUAGUUUUACUAACUCACUCCUACUGCAUUUAAGCCCCAGAGUGUUUGAACAUGGUUUUCACCAGGAACACAGUCUGGAUCUAAGCCCAGUUUUUGAGACACAGUAGCAAUGGCAGGGGGAGGUUUGUUUUCCUCAUUUUAAAUCCAUCAUGGCAGCAUGGAGGGGAUGUCCUGUCUAAGGAAGGUUGGAGAGUUCCCAGGCAUGCUCAGUGUGUGCUGUGUAGAAGGAAAUAAUCUGACAGUUCAGCUGAUCUUUACAGAAGCAUGGUAACACUUUUUCCUUCUCUUUAAAGGAUGAGGAACUCAUCAACUAGCACAAUGACAGAGAGAGCCAAUGAUGUCACCUGUGCUCCAGCUGACCACAGCCAUCAAAGGUACCCUUUACACAAUUAAGUUACAUGCACUGCCAAAGCAAGUGAGAGCAGGCCAGGCAGGUCUUUAGGCAAACUGCAAUAAACUUACUGUCUUAAACAUGUAGUUCUGAAAUGUUGUUACCCCACUGCCAAAGAAAUGUCUGAGAUGCUGCUCGUCUUCUUCCCAGAUCCAGCUCAAUGCUCUACAGGCCAAAACCUGCUAUUUUAGGAGGUUUAACUUGGGCUGAGCUCAGUAAAGACAGUGCUGGUGUUCUCUCCUGGAGACCAAGCAGUAAAUCACUUUUCACAUACAUUGUGGGUGUUUUGAGAAGGCAGGAACUAAGCAGGGGACCAGAGCUCUGGGCUCAGAGCCUGGAAACUGAAUUUUCUCUCUCUUCCAAACUCCCAUUGUACAGACACAAUCUCUCAAGAGUUGCCAAGGUUGAGUUUUAUUUAGGAUUAGAAAUACUGAACCACAGAAAACUGUUAAGUGUAACAGAGGUUGACUGAGUAAUAGGAGGGUGCACAGAUGGCGACUGGGUGGGAAACCGCCAGACUUCAGGAGGAAUUUCUGCACCCGUGGAAAACAAGGGCACAGGCUGCUCAGAACUGCAUGCUGUGCUUCUGCAACAAAGCAGUUUAAAGGAGGAAUAGAAUGGUUACAAUGUAACAAAUAUUUAUAAACAAACCUUUUUUUUUUUUUUUUAACCACCCCUGAUUUGCUGCCAAGAGAAAGUUUUUGCUUUCAUUUCAACCAGUUCAUUUUACAGUUUAUACUGGGGUGACAGCUCCCCAGAACAAACCUUUAAAACUUGUGAUAAACUUUCCUUGAACAAAUCCUAUAAGCUUUUCUUAUUAUUUCAUAUUCCCCUGUACAAUAAAAUAUAUUUUUUUAAAAUCA